CCCUCUACAAUCCAUAACCUUCUCUUUUCCAGCACAGCCUUUCACAGCUGCCAGGACAGAGGAAUGCCAAAACAAGGCCAGUGCCUCUGGGUGCAUUUCAAGGUGGGUGGAAGAAGACGCGCUUAACCAUAAACUCCAGAGUUCCCAUGAGCAACAAGGAGAAUAGAAGACUCAUGAGCUAUUUCUGCACAUUUUCUGCCACUGGACCUCAGAAGCCAUUUUCAUAUUUCAAGGUUUUAUUCACAGUCUCCUGGUGGUACAAGUGUCAAGGACUGACUGACAGACACUUUAUAGUUUUUUUAAUUUUAUUUUUUAUGUUCAUUGGAGUUGCUUGUUUUGUUUGUAAUGGAGAACUUUUGUAACUAAGCAUCAAGAAUUCAUGUCUCAGAUCCUGCAUUUGAGUCUAAAACAUGAUUUGGCUAGCACAGAAUUGUAGUUUAUGAUGUUGUAAGAGAGCUCUGAUUAUGCGUACAUAAUAGAGCACUGCAGUUUAUCCACCUCAGGAGUUAGCACUCUAUGAGAACUGCCUAGACUACUUGUACAACCAAGCUUUUAAUUUCCUUUUGUGGGAAACAAGUGAGUCAUAGCUUUUAUAAGUAUUUGAGCUAUGAAAUCCACGAGUGAGAACAUUUCUGGGAAGCAAUAUAAAAAGCACGUGAAUAUGUUUUAAAUGUGUUUUCCUUAGACUUUGAAGAUAUAUUCAUGGAGUUCUCCUUUGCCUUGGCUAUUUAUUCCGCUCUGGUCUUCCAGGAGAAAAAACGUCUGAAAGUAGGGGCUCUCUAAGUUAAGUCAACAGAUAAGAUUACAGAACUGCAUGUGCCAGGAACCUGGAAACUCUGUGGAUACCACUUCAGUGCCCGAUUUCCCUUACACAUACAUUUCCUACCCAGUUCAUCCCCUCUUAGCCAGACCAGGACUGUCCUACUGUUCCAUACAGCAGCUGCCACAACAAGGGCUUGAUUUAAUGAAUGCUACAGGAAUAUGAAUAAUUGCACAGACAGUUAUUUCUCAAGUACUGCAGAAAUUUGAUUGCUGUUUUUUUUAUCUCAUCAGACUGGAAAUAGCAUUAAAACCAACUCUUUUUUUAAUGGAUAUUUCGCAGAAAAACCUGCCAUUAAGGUAGACCACAAUUAUUAGAAGCCUCUGUAUGUUGAAAAAUCCAUAAAAGAAACAGUGAGACUCACUUUCUAGCUGUGUAUAACUACAUUUCGCAAAAUAAAAAGUAAAAAAUAAAUAGAAUGUUUAAGAUG
This 1250-nucleotide long non-coding RNA is filed under the name Numida meleagris (helmeted guineafowl). Its description in RNAcentral is "lncRNA (ENSNMEG00000004528.1)". The record is from RNAcentral. Lineage: Eukaryota; Metazoa; Chordata; Aves; Galliformes; Numididae.